Molecule: ribosomal RNA, 547 nt
Filed under: uncultured bacterium
Lineage: Bacteria
Description: bacterial SSU rRNA
Rfam family: Bacterial small subunit ribosomal RNA
Source: RNAcentral
AAUAGAUACCCUGGUAGUCCACGCCGUAAACGAUGAGUGCUAAGUGUUAGGGGGUUUCCGCCCCUUAGUGCUGCAGCUAACGCAUUAAGCACUCCGCCUGGGGAGUACGGUCGCAAGACUGAAACUCAAAGGAAUUGACGGGGGCCCGCACAAGCGGUGGAGCAUGUGGUUUAAUUCGAAGCAACGCGAAGAACCUUACCAGGUCUUGACAUCCCAUUGACCACUAUGGAGACAUAGUUUUCCCUUCGGGGACAACGGUGACAGGUGGUGCAUGGUUGUCGUCAGCUCGUGUCGUGAGAUGUUGGGUUAAGUCCCGCAACGAGCGCAACCCUUGUUCUUAGUUGCCAUCAUUUAGUUGGGCACUCUAAGGAGACUGCCGGUGACAAACCGGAGGAAGGUGGGGAUGACGUCAAAGUCAUCAUGCCCCUUAUGACCUGGGCUACACACGUGCUACAAUGGACGGUACAAACGGUUGCCAACCCGCGAGGGGGAGCUAAUCCGGAUAAAACCGUUCUCAGUUCGGAUUGUAGGCUGCAACUCGCCUACA